AAAUAAAUAAAUUACAAGGCUAUCCUUUACUAAGAGCCCCAGGACUGCAUUAAGCUUUUGAAUCACUUGGAUUGCAACUCCAACUGGCCAUGACUGGUGAAAACUGCAGCCAUUUUUUUUUUGCCAUGCUAAGAUUCUAACAUUUGGAAUUUUUCAGAACUUUUCAUCAAGGACUUUUGUAGAGAGGAGUGUAUGAGUUCUGUUAAAUAAAUACAAAAGACUGAUUAUCACUCCAAAAAAA
Molecule: long non-coding RNA, 241 nt
Organism: Candoia aspera
Lineage: Eukaryota; Metazoa; Chordata; Lepidosauria; Squamata; Candoiidae
Exons: 2
Source: RefSeq, a predicted model, not a curated record